This 514-nucleotide ribosomal RNA is filed under the name uncultured Paracoccaceae bacterium. RNAcentral's name for it is "bacterial SSU rRNA". It matches the Rfam family "Bacterial small subunit ribosomal RNA", at positions 378 to 910 of the family's 1533-position model. Lineage: Bacteria; Pseudomonadati; Pseudomonadota; Alphaproteobacteria; Rhodobacterales; Paracoccaceae. The record is from RNAcentral.
CNAGCCUGAUCUAGCCAUGCCGCGUGUGUGAUGAAGGCCUUAGGGUCGUAAAGCACUUUCGCCAGAGAUGAUAAUGACAGUAUCUGGUAAAGAAACCCCGGCUAACUCCGUGCCAGCAGCCGCGGUAAUACGGAGGGGGUUAGCGUUGUUCGGAAUUACUGGGCGUAAAGCGUACGUAGGCGGAUCAGAAAGUAUGGGGUGAAAUCCCAGGGCUCAACCCUGGAACUGCCUCNUAUACUGCUGGUCUUGAGUUCGAGAGAGGUGAGUGGAAUUCCAAGUGUAGAGGUGAAAUUCGUAGAUAUUCGGAGGAACACCAGUGGCGAAGGCGGCUCACUGGCUCGAUACUGACGCUGAGGUACGAAAGUGUGGGGAGCAAACAGGAUUAGAUACCCUGGUAGUCCACACCGUAAACGAUGAAUGCCAGUCGUCGGGCAGUAUACUGUUCGGUGACACACCUAACGGAUUAAGCAUUCCGCCUGGGGAGUACGGUCSCAAGAUUAAAACUCAAAUGAAU